UUCAAUAUCUAUUUUAUUAUUGCCCUUUGCCAUAUCAUGAAGUUCUAUUUUGUUUUUUGAGCUCAUACAGACCUAGGUUAAUGUUUUGCUGAUCAGUUCUAUUUUUUGACUAUAGAGUUUUUAAACAUUGCAAUGGAGAUUUCACCUGUAAAAAGUUAUAAGGCCUUUACUAUAAUGUUAUGUGUUGUAUGUAUUAUAUUAUGUGUGCACACUUGUGUUUUGUGUUAUAUGUUUGAAUGUACGUAUGUCCAUAUAUCAUAUAUGAUGAGCGCUCAUGAUAAAAUGGAUCCAAAUAUUUUUUUUUCACAUGAUUUAUAUGGUUUAAUUUAAAUUGGGUAAACAACUGUUGAGGAUUGUUUUAAUAUGUAAACAAAAAAGAAGGUUAACAGAUCUGUUUGUUUACUUUUACCUUUCCUUUUCAUUAUAUUUAAUAAUUCUCUUAAAGAUAAUGUAAAUUGUUAAGAAAAUUGUUUUCUUUUAGUGCCUUCUGUAAUGUUACAUAAUUUUUUCUUUAGCCAUUAUUGCCAGAAUUCCUAUCUUCAUCCCAGUGCUGGUGAAGACAAUGUAAAUUGUUAAGAAAAUUGUUUUCUUUUAGUGCCUUCUGGAAUGUUACAUAAUUUUUUCUUUAGCCAUUAUUGCCAGAAUUCCUAUCUUCAUCCCAGUGCUGGUGAAGUCAAAGAUAAAACCAAUCUACAGCUUCUACAAUAGCCAUCACUGAACUGCUUGCAGAACUUGCCUGGACACAUUGUGAGCUCACCUGUAUGCAUUGUGAACUAUCUGUUGGUGCAGCGACUUAUGGUAGUGUUGGGGUAUUUUUGCUGAUGAUGUCACCGGUGGUACAAUUUUUCAAAGGAGCCCUCAAUUGGCUUAAUGUCAUGCAUCCUCCUCUACUAGUGAUGGUCUAAAAUUUGGGGGCCAACAGAGGUGAGGCAAAGAACCUCACCCCCCCACAGGUGCAAAGGCCUAUCCACAAGUAUGGCUAUAUGCUGGACCGGUAGUCAGUGACGGGUAUGAUCCAAUUGCAGUGGUACCAACCUAAGACAGGAGGCUGACGCCUAGAGGUCAGUUCAUCCGAUGACGGGUAAGGACCAUAUGUUGAAUUGGACUGCCUAACAGGCACGGUCCCUAAGCCACAUGCUUGUUGUUUAAACAGAGAGGGGGAGAUGUUGAGAGCCACAGCCUGAGGGGCCCCAGCAAACUUCCAGCUGCCAGCAAACUUCCAGCUGCCGGCUGAUGAUUGGCUCACAGCAGCCCCAGCAACAUCUAGCUGAUUGGCUCCUCGGCCCCAGCAACAUCUAGCUGAUUGGUUCCUCUGCGGUGAUGCUCAUUGGACUGUUUCCCUGCCCUUUCAGACCACGGAGCUGCUCAUUGGGGGACUUUUUUGGCUCCGCCCACGUGACCCAGCCAAUCGGCCUCAAGAGCAGGAGGAUUGUGGGAGGUGGAGAGAAGCUUGUGUGGGAGAGAGAGGCUUGGGGAAAGCCGGUGGUGGCAGUUGAGGCUCUGAGGGUUUUUCCUGAGAGACUAUUUUGUUUGUUGUGUGUGGUUCUAAAAAUAAAGUUAGUUUCUUUUGACAAGUGGCUCCUGAUUGUGCCCAGCCAGACUGCGGCAGAUGGAGAAACUUGGGAGAAAGAAACUUGGAAGAACGAACACAAACAGAUGAUGAAAUCGUGAUAAUCGGACCAUGAGCUCAGUGUUUUGCCUGCCUCAUCACAUGGCUCCUUGUCAACCUCACUAUACAAAGAAGAAAACAAGGUUCAGAGAGGUUAACUAAUAACCCUCUGGCGGAUCCAGGUCAAGUGACUCCAGAGUUCAAGUUCCUUAUCUCUGUGUUUGCCACUCGGUCGCCUGGCAUGAAGAAUGGGGUAAGGAAAGAGGCAUAUUCUUAGACAAUUGAUUAGGAUGCCUUGUUAUCUAUAAUUUGUUUUAAAAUUCUUCACUUUAAGCAGAGAAGUGUGUGUGUGUGUGUGUGUGUGUGUGUGUGUUUACAUUAACUUUAAACCUUAGAAAUAGUAAUUAUUUGAAUAUCAUAACUAGUAAUUCAGAUCAUCAGCAUGGUAAAUUAACACUACAAACUUCCAAACUUUGGGGCCACCCCAUCAAGUGCCACUUUCUAAAUCUGUGCCUGGAGAGUUCUCAUUAGCACAUGAGAUAGAAAUAAUUAUUCACUGUGAAGCCAGUUACAUUCCAACUAAGUGGAUUGCCAAACAUACAGCAUUAGGCAGCUCCAGCUCUGCCCUGAAGAAGAACGAGGGUGAGGAAGUCAACAUCCCAGGGGGUCUUGGACCUAGAACACUGCUAUGUGCUAUGUCCACAUGACUAACCCAAGAAGACUCUGCUUUCUGACCUAAGAAAAAGAAGUAGUGAAGGAGGGAGAGAGCUGUAAAUCACGAGAGAAUAACAUAUUUUGAAGAGUGAGGCAUGUUUAAAGCAAGCUAUUCCUCUAUGGGCCUGAAUAAAUGCCCUGUCUCUCCUCUACUGCACGUGGAGAAAUGAGAUGGUACUCACCACACUAAAGAAAGCCAGGCCAUUGGGAAGAAUGUCAAUAUCUUCAGCACCAGCUUCUGUAAGUUCAAGUAAGUGGAGAAAUAUCAUUUUCAGAUUGUUAUUCAUUAGAGAUAGCAUCACUGGGACUUUGUUUAUUCUAUCAGAGUGUCUGUAUCUUUAUGGAUGGUUCCAGUUUAUUCCAGGACCCUAUUCUCUUUAAUAAAUGUCAGUCUAAAACCUUUCCUAAACUGAACUUCUGACUUUAAAUGUUAGAUGUUUUAUGUUUACUCAAAUCAAAGUCAAGUUAUCACCACAUUUCCAGCUAUGAUAUAGAACAAGCUGACAUCUGUACACACUUAUGAUAAACAUCCAGAUGUCUGGAUAAAAGUAAUUGACAUCAGGGGAAUAUUUCCUUCAGAAACCAGAACUCAUAGUCAUUUAACCAUGCAAAUUUCCUUGUCCUCUUCUCUGCUCAUCCAAUCUGCAACAAAAAGACAUCUCUCUCAUUAACGGAGAUAAAACACCUGGGAUUACAUAUUCCUUCUUUUACAAACAGUGCCUACUUGUUCUCAUAAGCAAAGAAAGCUUUCUAUUUAGGCUUUAAAUUAUAGGAAAGACUAGCAAAAGAAAAUUAAUGAAAAAAUACCAUGCACCUAAGCCAGUUGAAGCUUCCAACUCCCAUCUCUGAGGCAGGCUACAAUUACUAUUGAUUGUUUAUUGAUUGUCUGCAGUACACUUCACAUAGCACUGCAAAUAAUUAGACAUAAGGCCUUCCCAGCGGUCUCACUGUAUAAAUUCCAGAGACAGAUAAUAGACCCAAACACAAGAAAAGAGAAAUAAAAAUGGCUUAGAUUAAGCCAAAUCAUGACACAUUCUUUGAGUCCACAAAAUCCAAUCUUCCUGUUUAAGAUCUCUCCAAAGGAUUUUUCCAAGAUUAUUUCUAGGUUGUCAAAAUCAAACAGCAUCUAUCUAUACAGCCAUUUUGGUUUUGAUUUAUGAGUUCGCUUUUAGCUGGUUACUUCUUCCACUGUUGCUUGUUCUACUAUCAUUGUACAGAGAAGCAAAACAAAAUAAGAAUGCCAAGAACUCUACUUUUAAGUGCCUAUUGCUCAGAAAGAAGGCACAUCUCAAUAGCCUGAGCAUGGUGGAGUGGACGGGGGCUGCGUGUCCCUAAACAGCCACAGAUAGGCUUCACAGAAUCUGUUAACCCUCUGAAAUUCUAUGCAUGGCAAAAUGUCUUAUAUGUAGAGAUGAGAACUUUCCCUGUGAAAAGGACUACUGAAGAUCAGCAGACUCAAAAACUACUAGCUUCUAGUCACAGGGAUUCUCAACUGGGAAUGAGCAGGGAGCAGAAGAGCUCUGUACCACAGAUACACAUAGACACAUGUGCACGCAUGCACACAUACACAAUUUCACUCCAAGUUUUGCUUUUUGGGCCCAUCUAAUAGAAGCUCAAUUAAUCCAAAACUUGUUUUUCCAGUAAAAUUACUUAAGAAAUUUUAAUUUCCAUGUGAACAUGUUCAUAUGUAUUAAAACAAGGUGAAAUAAAAAAUAAUGAUGUUUCUUUGAGGAGCAGAAUUAUGAGUGGUUUUCAUUCUUUCUUUCUCUAUAUAUGUACACAUAUAAACAGAAGAACCUUAAACAAAUGCAAAAUAUAAAUUAUUUAUUUAAAGUGUUCUGAGUAUGUGCAAGGUCCUAGGUUCAAUCACAGUAACACACACACACACACACACACACACACGGCUGGGGGGAUAUAGCUCAGUGGAAAGUAAACACUUGAGACCCUGUGUUCAAUCCCCAACACCAUAAAUAAACAAAUAAGUAAAAAUGAAAUAAAAGAUAAAGUUUUCUACAAAUAAUAAUCAAACAAUCCAAUAUUUUAAAAAGAUAUUUUUAUUUCAACCACAUUAUAACUUCUCAUUUUACCUCCUCAUUGUAACCCCCCCAUUUUAAUGAGGAAAAAAAAAGUCUUAUCUGUACCUUACUUUGGCAUAUUUUCCAGAUUUAUUCAUUCAUCUUUCACUUCUAAAGUGAACACCACAAUUGACUUUUAUUAUCUACAUCACUUCUUUGAUAUGAUUAUUGCAAGAGUAGCCAAUCCUGGAGAAAUUCUUUUCUCCUCUAAUUCAAUAGUCAUGGUAGGAAUAACUACUAACAUUAAGUACUCACAAGUACCAGGCUCUUUGUAAGUACUUUGCAUAUAACAUUGCAUAUAAUUUUAUAACACUAAGAGGCAAUGUUAUUACCCCUUAUUUUAGAUCUGAAAAUAUGGAGGCUUUGAAAAGCAAAUUGUUUAAAUUACAAACCGGGAAUCUGAGAUUUGAAUCAUCUGGUGUGACUUAAAGCACAUGAAAAAUAUUCAACCUAGAAUUUAAUGAACUUUUCUCUGUCAGAACCAUCCCCUGGUUCCUCUCUAAAGAUACUUCACUUUGUAAAUUCAACUAUGGUUAAUUCCAUAUGUUGGCUUUGCCCCCCCCCAAAAUUGUUGCUUCCGUGUUUCUCACAGAAUUUUUCACCAAUCCAUAUCCUGCACUUUUAUUUAAAAUCCUUUCUCCAGAAAGUCUUCUAGCUUAAUACAUCUAAUGUUGAUCCCUUCUUCUUACUUCAGCAAUUAUAGCUCCAUGUCAGAGAUGGCCAAAUAUCCCCCAGCAUCCAUGCACCCCUCUACCUUCUUAGCAAUAAGCACAAAGCAACUUAGGUACAGAUGACACUUCCUACCUUUUCUUGCUGAUAGAUGGUGACACAUACACUAUACGAUAUGUAGUCAAUAACUUUUAUUUAUUAAGUCAGAAAGGCAUGAUAUGACAUGAUAUUUGUAUAAAGCUCCCAAGAGUUGCAAAGAGCUCAUUUCCAGUGGCGGCCAACGCAGCCCCAUAGUAUGUGUGUGCACACACACAUGUGUUGAUGGGGACAAAGGCAAGGGGGAAGAAGUCUUACCUCUUAGGGGUAUUAACCUCAAGUGUACAGCCACUACUGUUUCCAAAACAGGAAAUAAAAACACAGUCCUCCUGAUCCUUACUGCCUACUAUAGCUACUUGCCUUUGUCUAUAUGAGAAGGUAUGUUCAGCACAUGGUGUUCCUUACCAUCAAAGACCACUGGACAAGCAACUGUAGUUAAAAAUAUAUAACCACAAGUUAUUAUUAACCAUUGUGCAUUGCUAACAUGGCACUCAACAAAUGUUCAUAUGGUGUGUACUAACCACAGGGCAAAAGCAAAAAAAAAAAAAAGAAUGAAAGAAAAGCACACUUCUAAUUAGAUCUAAAAAUGUAUCCCAAAUGUGCUUCUAAUCACUCAUCUUCUCCGCUCUGUUGCCUUUUGAAGUGCCUCAGAGGCAUUAAACACUUCAGGAAAAGGGCCAGAGGUGACAUAUUUCCUCCUUCUUUCCAAUUCCAGACAGCAGCUCAUACACAUCACAACAUAAAGGUCACAAACAUAGACAGACGACUGUUCAGAAUACAAAUGCUGCAAGGCUUGUUUUUUCUCUGAGACGCGCUCCAUCCCAGUGAGCUGUAACAGGAAUACACUUGGCAGUUUGUCCUGUAAUGUAUCUGGUCGUGCCCUAUUGUCUACUCUGAGACUUGAAUUCACAGAAGGUGGGCUUCAUGGGGCCAAGGGCUGUUUAAUAAUGUGACAAUUAUUAACUCAGUAGCAAAAGUCAACUAAGAGAUCACUGACCCAACCUCCUACUCUUGUCCAAUAUCCCUCACAGAUGCCACCUGGCUUUUGCUGGACCGGUUCUGAGGGGCUCUUCUUGAUGGAAGCCAGAAGGCAGGAUAAAGCUGUCUAGGUACUGGGGACUCUAGAACUGCCUUAGUCCUAGAGCUGUCUGCAUUAUCCAGCAGAGAUCUAGUUGACCAGGCAUUUGAUACUGUGUUCGCAUCCUCCUGGGAAGCGUUGGGGGAACUGAAAGAAAGAGAAGCUCCAGGAUAGUCAACCAAUCUGGGAGGAGGGAGAUAGGACUAGGAAAAUAACAAAAAUAGCAAUGAGAAAAAGGAAGCCAAACACAUUGCAAAGAGAGAUGUAAAGAACAAGAGGCCAGCAACAGGUCUGGAAAGGCACGCUUAAGCAGAAAGACUGCUCUAACAAUGAGGGUUUGCUCUUGCUAACAUUGCACAGUAAACCCUGUCAGGUAUGAGUGGGGUUACAAAUAUGAGGUAGCUAGUUUAUUCGUGUUCCCAAGUUGGGGAAGUUUAUCCAUGACUAUCAAAAUUUUAAACAUAGAUCCUAAUGACAACAACCUUAUUGUUAGAAAGAUUUAUUCACAGACAUGCAAAUGUAAGAGCAAUGAUGGUCACUGAUUUGUUUGUAAUUGCAACAUCUACAACAAUAGAAUUAUAAAAAACCAAGAAGCCUCUGCACAGCAAAGGAAUCAAUCAAUAGGGUAAAGAAUGGAAGAAAAUAUUUGCAAACUAUCUGCAGGGGUUAAUAUCCAGAAUAUAUAAGGAACUAAAACACAGCAAAAAUACCCCAAAUCAUCCAAUUUGAAAAUGGACAAAUAAUCAGAAUACACAUUUAUCAAAAGAAGACAUACAAUAACCAACAAGUAUAUAAAAAAUGCUCAGAACACUAAUCACCAGGGAUAUACCAAUCAAAAUUAUAGAGAGACAUUGUUUUACCCCAUUAGGAAUGGCUGCAUCCAAAAAGACAAAAAAGUAACAAAUGGAGGUGAGGAUGUGGACAAAGGGAAACAUUUAUACACUAUUGGCAGGAAUGUAAACUGGUGUGUCUAUUAGGAGAAGAGUAUGGAGGUUUUUCAAAAAACUGAAAAUAAAACUAUCUCAUCAUAUAGAAAUACCUCUAUUGGAUAUAUAUCCAAAGGAAAUAAAAUUCCUAUUAUCAAAGAAAUAAUCACAUGACCAAGAUCAUUGCACCACUGUUCACAAAAACCAAAAUAUUAAUUAAACAAGAUGUCCAUCAACAAAUGAAUGGAUUUAUAAAAUGUGGUAUAUAGAGUCACUGGAAUAUUAUCUAGCCAUAAAAAAAGGACAAAAUCCUUUCAUUUUCAGCAAUAUGGAUGGAGCUAGAGGGCAUAUUAAGUGAGAUAAACCAGGCACAGAUAGACAAUUAACAUAUGUCUUCACUAAUUUGAGGAAGCUAAAAAGUUGACCACAUAAGAAGAGAAUUGAAUAGAGGUCACUGGAGGCUAGGAAGGGUAACUGAGACAUGGGAAAUAAAGGGUUGAUAAUAGUGCCAAAAUACAGUUGAGUGAAAAGUAGUUCUGAAAUUCUGUUGUAUAGUAGAGUAAUUGUAAUCUAUAAUAAUUAAAAAAAAACAACUAGAAGAAGAAAAUUGAAGGUUCUUAACACAAAGAAACGGUAAUACUUGAGGAGACAGAAAUGCUGAUUGCUUGAUCUUAUUAGAUACAGUGUAUACAUGCAUCAAAUUAUAAUACUGUACCUUAUAAAUAAAUAUAAACAUGUUAAAUAAAAAAUUAAAAAAGAAAAGAAAAAGAAUCUCAAAUACACAUGUUUGAUACAAUCACCAAACAAGGCUUUAUUUACUGUUCCUUAAAUAUACUGAUAAGACUAAGAGAAGUUAACUAUAUUGCUUUAAACUCUCAUUCCAUUAUUAGAUUGUACCACCUAUGGUAAAACAUAAACGAAUGUAUACUUUUUCGCAAAUUGUAUAAUUAUCCUGCUUUAGCACAAGCAUAUUGCAUUGCACUUUUCUUCUUCUGUUAAAAGCAUUAAUCUGGUUAAAGUAAAUAUUCAGGAAUAUGGCAUAACUUUUUUAGACUGAGGGAGAUCUAUAUUGUCUAACUGACUGAGAAGCAAGCAGUGCAAUGGGAAGCUAAAGCAGGGACUCCUUUUUAGAAAGCAUUUAUACAAAAGUUUGCUGUCCUUAUAUUACAAUUCAUUUGGAGGGAUUUGGGGCAGUCUGAUGGAGGUCAUAUGAGAAUUAAAGCCUUUGGCCUCCAUCCUGGCAGGAGGGUGUGCCUAAUUCAUAUUGGACAUUUCUUCAGUUUUUAAAAUACCAGGGACCUCCAAGAAAGAAAAUAUCCUGGGCCCCUUUUGACUUCUGAGAUGGUCUGGGGAACCCAUUUGUCAAUUCAAUAUGACCCAAAGGAGAUUCCUCUUGGAAAUAUCCAGAAGAACAUUAUAAAUGUACGAGAAAAUAAUUAGCAAACCAAAUGCCCAUCAACAAUGAAGGGAUACAUAAAAUGUGGUACAUACAUACAAGAGAAUCUUACUCAGCCUUAAAAAGGAAGGAAAGCCUGACACAUGCUACAACAUAGAUGAACCUUUAAGACUACAGAGAGAAAAAAAAAUCAGUCACAAAAAGACAAAUACUGUAUGAUUCUACUUACACAAGGUAUCUAGAACAGUCCAAUUGAUAGAGACAGCAGAAUGGUGGUUGCCAGGAAAGAAGAGAAUGGGGAAUUAUUGUUUAGUGGGUACAAAGUGUCAGUUUUGCAUGAUGGGAAAGUCCUGGAGAUGGACAUUAGUGAUGGUUUCCCAACAACAUAAACACACUGAACAUUACUGACCUGUACACUUUAAAAGCAGCAAAAUGAUAAACUUUACAUGAUAUGUAUUUUACCUCAAAUAAAAUUAAAAACAAAAAAACAAAAACAAACAAGUAAGAUAAUCCUGCACCAAGCCAAAUGUGCAUUAAGUGAUCAGUUAUAUAAAUCAUGGAAUGUGAAAAAAUUAAAAACGAAUGAGGUAAACAGACCUAUGAAAAGCUGUUCAUGCCAUGCUAGGAAUAAAGCAGGUUGUAAAACAUUUAUACUAAGAUGCCAUUUGUGGGAAAAAAAUGUAUUUAUAUGCAUAUAUGUAUUUGCAUGUACACCAAAAAAGAAAAAAAAAAAAGCUUUAUAUCUGGGGUUACUUCUGUGGGGGAAUGGGGAGUUUGUUGAAAGAUUUUUAUUUUCCAUUUUAGAUCUUUCUGUACUGUUUGAACAUAUAAUGUUUAUGUGCACUUUGCACAGAAUAUACUGUGCGGUUACAGAAAAAAGAUAACUAAGCUAACGUAAGUUUCCAAAAGAUAGUAUUAAGAACAAAAAGGUAGUUUAGAAAUAUUAUGUAUAAUUUGACCUCAUUUGUGUUUUUUUUUUUAAGUCAUGUGUGUGAAAGUAUUCCUAAAUAGGCCGGAAAAGUAUGUUCAACAAUGUUACUUAUUAGGAGGAGCAGAAUGCUUCUGUGCAAUCUGGAUUUCAAUUUCUUGAAAACAAAACAAAAAAUUGAAAGGUCUCUCCCACCUCUAGAUGUUGUUACAUAAGGACUAGAAGGGAUAAAAUGUUAGUUUAGUCAUUUCUACACUGUAGUUUACAGAGUCAGAUUAUAAUUAAAUUUCCCAAGAUCUUUUUUGGACUCUAAAAACUUCUAGCCUAACUAGAAACUCAUCAUUGCAGGUGAAAAAUAUGAAAGGCCAUGCUUUGCACCAGUUCACAUUGUAUGUGUGUGGCAGGACCACAGCUAGACACCAGGUACUGCUCCCCCCUGCCCCUUUCCAACCGUAACUUAUCUCACUAAUAAUGCAAUAACAGUUACUGAGAGUCUACUGUAUAGUAGGGACUUUGGUAUAUGGAACAAGGUAAAAAGCAGCAAGACACAGACUUUGCCUGGAAGAAAUUACAGAGAAUCCACAGAGUUCCUCAGUGCGAGGAGAAAGUCUGAGCAGAUCUCUCAUCCUGUGCAUCAGAACCAAACCUGUUUGUUCAGUUCUGAGACUCAGGCAUUGUGGAGCAUCCUGCAUGGAGUCAUGGAGACAGGGACACCCCAAUCAUUGUUCUUCCCUCUGUAGUCACCACAUAGAAAACAAAUACAAACAAGUAUAUUUGAUGCUUCAUGAAAUAAAUUGAACACAAAUAUACAUUAGCUAUCAGAAAAGAUGCUGGUUCCAGAGUAGCAGCAAGAUAAAUGCUGUUCCUGAUUACAAGGAACUUACGUUCCUUCCAACUUCAGUAGUGGUGAAUAGGACAAUGAACUCAGGAUGCAGAGGCCGUCCACAACAAACAGAAUUUACAAAUGAAAUUCAGAGGAGUCAUGGAAUAAGCCAUAAAUCAAAUAGUAAGCAAAGGAUUACAUAAACAAUUAAUAAAUUACAGUCAGCAUAAGAAAAGAGAAAUACAGGAUGCAUAAGAUCAAAAGAGACAGACCAAAGAGGGUUCUGCUGAUCAUGUGGUUUAAUUGCUGAAAAACACUAAUUGCUUGCCAAAAUACUGUUAAUGAGUGUUUUAAUGUUGGUGGUCCAACACUGUAAUGUGUAAAACAAGCAUUUUCUCAUACAUACCAAUUCCUUUAAUCAGGUGGCAGUUUGGAAGAUCUACAGAUUCCACUUCUCCGGUGGCUUUAAGUCGAUUUCUGUUUAAAACAAAACAAAAUAAAACAAACUUUGUUUAUACGUUCCCUGCUUUGUUCCAGAAAGGGUUUAAAGAGGCUUUUAGCAAUACAUAAAGCAGCAUAAACCUAAAGCAGAUGAAAGUGAAGACAGAAAAACAAGUGUAGGAACAUGAAACAGCACCAGAAAGAAGUUAAAACAAAAAAACACAAGGCGCUGAAGUUCUGCAUAUGGACAGGGCUCUGAGAGAAAGCCCAGCACUCGACAAACACAACUUGUUUAUAAUAUAACAGAGCACCAGGUCACAUUUCUUGCAGCUCUGAUGGGAAAAGACCUCAGAUGUAGCUCUAGGAGCCCUUUCCACUGAAGAGCCAAACAAUGAAACAUGGCAGUCUCACUCCAUGUCUGAAAAAGGCCAAGAACAAAGGGCACCACUCAGCACACACCCACAAAGAGUUACUAAGGAAUACAAUGUGUACCAGGGUUGGAAGUUUGGAGAGCACCAUCUAACUUUGGCAAAUUACUGAUCUGGUUGUUUUGGGAGGCAGGGAAGAAGAAGAAAUAACUAGGGAAUGUUGAACUCCACUAGGGUAUCUUCUCCCAUCAUUUCCACCCUAGAGGACUACAAGGCAGUUUGGGCCAAAACAUGUGGAAAUGACAAUUUUGAAGUACACAUACUGCGGGCUUUUUCUUCUCUUUUUCUCACCUCUCGGUUCUCUGGAGCCAUAAGAAACAGAAAUUGUAUUUGCAGGGAACUUGGCAAUUUUUAAAAUGGUUCCACACACAGUAAUCUGCCCCUCGUUCUCCUAUUUGAAUCCCUGACAGCUUCUGACUUCCAGACACUGAAUAUGGGAAAGGGUACUGGUUUCUUGGCAAAAUAGGGCCUAGGUCAUCCAGAACUACUAACUGGUUGGGCUAACUCUACAUUCUGACAAUUCAUAUCAUAAAGCUUCUAAAUAAAGUGUUAACCAGUAAGUAUUUGGAAUCAUACAACUCAAAUAAUAUUAAAUUUCUUGAAAUAAUACAUCAAUGAAACAAAUAAUGUAUAAAUAUAAAUAAUAAUAAUGUAUAAUGCAAAAACAAAAUACAUUAUUAAAAAAUUUAAAUCAAAGUAACAAAAUACAACAAAUCUCACUCUUACAUGCCCCAAGAGUAAUUUAAAAGGAAAAAAAAAAGAGUAUAUAAAUUACAUGUAGUGGUAGCAAUAGGAAUAAUGAUGAAGACUAUGCUGAUGAUAACCAUGAGUGGUGAAGGAAAUCAGUAAUACAGCAGUUAUAAUUCACUGUUGUUUUAAGUCUACUAUGGUUUUAAGUGAUUUACCUCAAUGAUUUCAUUCAAUUCUUCAAAGCAACCCUGCAAAUUAGGUACCAUCAUCCCCAUUUUAGAGAUGAUGAAACUGUCUUGAAGAAGAAAAGCAGUUUCCCUGGAGGUCCACUCAGUGAGGAAGCACUGGAGCCAGCUAUCACACAGAGGUGGCCCUUGCCCUACGACUCUGUGCUUUCCUCAGGAGCACUGAGAUCCGUGCUGAGUCCCAGCAGGAACACUCCAUGAUCCUUGGCAGAUCAGUGAGUCUCUGCAGGCCUCAGUUUUCCAUAUGGAUACAAGAAGGAUGAACCCGAAAGACUUCCAAGAUCCUGAUAAUAUGUGGCUCCAGAAACAGAUGUACAUACAAAUCAAUGGGUCACAGCUGUAGUUUGUACGUGAAGUAUCAUGUGUUGACUUGGGUGUCAAUUUUAUAUAACUUACCCACUAUGUCUAUUUGACUAUACAGAAAUAGGGAUGAUGACGAUUACCUCUACUUUUUCAAAGAUAAACUGUAUGAUUAAAUACAAUCUGUUCUACGUGAAUCCGAACCCACAACAAGGAAGGGAAAGAUAGAAGUUCAUUGGACUAGACAAAGGAGAAUGAAGGGGGAAUGGAAAUAGAAAAGACAGUAGAAUGAAUUGGACAUAUCUUUUCCUAUCGUAUUGAUAGGAAAUUAUGAUGUGGAGUUAUAUUGGUAUUCACAUGACCAAUAUAACUCCACAUCAUAUACAACCACAAUAAUGGGAUCCUAAUUGGAACAAGUUAUACUUAUUCUAUGUAUAUAUAAUAUAUCAAAAAUAAACUCCACCUAUGAAGAACAAAUUUUAAAAAAUAAAUAAUAAAUAUAAUCUGUUUAAAGAAACAUG
Molecule: long non-coding RNA, 12939 nt
Organism: Marmota monax (woodchuck)
Lineage: Eukaryota; Metazoa; Chordata; Mammalia; Rodentia; Sciuridae
Exons: 3
Source: RefSeq, a predicted model, not a curated record